GAUGAACGCUAGCUACAGGCUUAACACAUGCAAGUCGCGGGGUAACAUCUGGUAGAGCUUGCUCUUCCAGGAUGACGACCGGCGCACGGGUGAGUAACGCGUAUCCAACCUGGCCCAUACCACGGGAUAGCCCGUCGAAAGGCGGAUUAAUACCGUAUGCUGUCAUUAAGAUGCAUAUAUUGAUGACGAAAGGACUGGCGGUAUGGGAUGGGGAUGCGUCUGAUUAGCUUGUUGGCGGGGUAACGGCCCACCAAGGCUACGAUCAGUAGGGGUUCUGAGAGGAAGGUCCCCCCACAUUGGAACUGAGACACGGUCCAAAACUCCUACGGGAGGCAGCAGUGAGGAAUAUUGGGUCAAUGGGCGAGAGCCUGAACCAGCCAAGUAGCGUGCAGGAAGACGGGCCCUAAUGGGUUGUAAACUGCUUUUAUAGGGGAAUAAAGUGAGCCACGUGUGGCUUUUUGCAUGUACCCUAUGAAUAAGGACCGGCUAAUUCCGUGCCAG
Molecule: ribosomal RNA, 501 nt
Filed under: uncultured bacterium
Lineage: Bacteria
Description: bacterial SSU rRNA
Rfam family: Bacterial small subunit ribosomal RNA
Source: RNAcentral